GAGAGCAGAAGGACCGAUGGCACCAGUCAGAGUAAUGCCACGCAGGGGCUUGAACAUGAGUGGAGAUGCUUAACCCGUCAGUUUGGUUCACAGCACAAACACUUGUGCUUGUCCUGGUGCAAGAGGGGUUUGGGUAACAGACAGCUCUGAGUUAGUUGUGCUUGGAAUCUAUGAGGGGCAGGAGACUGUGCCCUUUCAAAGUAAAGAAUAUUAUAAUAUAUAUAUUAUUAUAACAAUAUAAUAUAAGUAGUGCCCUUUCUAGAUAGUGGCUAAGGGUUGAAAAGGAUUCUGCUACCUUCAAAAAAGCGCCCUGAUGCUAUGUGACUUGUGAUGUGUGCAGGACUGACUGCUGUGGGCAGUGCGUGUGGAUCAACGGGGUAACACUGCCAAAGUCCAUGUGAGCUUUGAGGCUCCACUUGCCUGGGGCAAAACAACCCAGCUUGGAUGGUGGCCAUCAGAGUUGCGGUAAGUGCUGGGCUGCCACACAUCUCUGUGUGCCAUGGACCAGGGUCUGGUGGCUGCCCUCAGUUAACACAAGCAUGGUUUUCUUGCUAGUUGAAACUCUGCAAUCCAAAGCAAGUUGUAUUGGGGCAAGAAAAGCUUUGAAGUUUCUCCUUUCCAACACAGAGGUAUUUUCUCAGGAUAGGUCCUCUGUAAGAUGGCUAAGGAUCUGUUGAUAGCCUGACCAGCUCCAGUAGCAGCUCAAUGGUCCCUUAGCACACUUCUUUCUUCUCUGUGCUGACCCGUGGCAUGACCCCACCAGUAUUCCAUGUGCACUGAUGCCCACCAAAGGCCUUUUCCAGCACAUCAAUCAACUGCAGUUUAAUCUUGAGAACACACUAAAAGUCCCAUGUGGACACAAUAAGUUUGGUAUCAAAUGAGUUUUUUCUAGCUUGACUGAAACGUUUCAUUUUAUUUCUGGAGCUGCAAAUGUCUGGACAGCAGGUUUAAAGCAUGCAUUGAUGCCCUCUGUGCUGAAAGGGAGCCACCACAGCAGAUCCAGAGGUGGGUUCCUGGUAGGGACCAAGGUGAGAACUCCUCCUCUUAGCUCCCAAAGCAGAGGGCUGCAGGGGUGAGAUCUCUCUUUGGCGAGGGUACUGCUGGGGUGGUAUCAGCAUGGGGCUGGCCAGGAGCUGCUCUGCUCUGCCCUGAGCCCAGGGGGGUCUGGCACAGGGCCUCUGGAGGAGGCAGGGGCUGGUGUUUUCUGCUGGGGCACCAGGCAGAGGCUCAGCCCAUCACUUGCAGGUGAUGGGUGUGAUGGGCUCUGCGGGAUGCGGAGCUUUAGGUGAAGUCCAGGUCCAACAGUGUGUGUGAACACAGAGUCAGCAACACUGCUGCGCCAAGGGACCUGGGCUGCUGCUGCUCCGGACAGGAAUUGGAGCUGGAAAUGCAGAUAAUUUUGUAUAUCUCCUUUUAGCAUGUGACUCUACACUCAGACAUUGUACCUGGCGCACCGAUGUUGUUUUUCUUCGCCUCUGGCACAGUCUGACAAAAUCUUUUGGCCUGGAGACAGGACUUCUGCUCCUUGGUACCGCCUGCCUGGAAGUGCGACCAGGUCCCAAGGCUAAACCUCUCUACAUAUCCUCUUUGCAUUCUUUAGGAAAGCAGCUGGAGAAUGUUUACACACUGCAGACAGAAUGUACAACUCCGAUCGAGGAACCACAAUCCGGUUCAACUGCAUGGCAAGUUCUUGGCCAUCAAAUCUGGCAUGCAUCACAGAGGCCCCGUCUGUGGACAGACCCACUGGCAUCUGUCAUCACUUCGGAUCACGUCUUGAAAAGAAAUAAACGAUGACGCCAUUUCUUGUUCAUAUCAGACACAGCUGUCAUUAGAUUUGUUAUUUCCAGGGGAUUCUUGAUCAUGCCAUUAAAAGCCUGUCUACCUUUU
Molecule: long non-coding RNA, 1887 nt
Filed under: Strigops habroptila (Kakapo)
Lineage: Eukaryota; Metazoa; Chordata; Aves; Psittaciformes; Psittacidae
Description: lncRNA (ENSSHBG00005015008.1)
Source: RNAcentral